This 252-nucleotide long non-coding RNA is filed under the name Jatropha curcas. RNAcentral's name for it is "long non-coding RNA (JCUR_LNC001215)". Lineage: Eukaryota; Viridiplantae; Streptophyta; Magnoliopsida; Malpighiales; Euphorbiaceae. The record is from RNAcentral.
AAUUAUAGAAGAUUGUUAAUGAUAAACGAAAAAUGAUGUAAAUGUACAGGUAGAGUUCCGCAAUUGUAUUAUAGUUGGGUUGUAAAUGAACUUUAUUAGUGAUGCAUAAUUGAAAUAAAUUAUUGGGCCUGUAUCCACACUUAUGAAUAGGAAACGAGGCUUACAUAAUAUAGGCUUACUACGGGCUUCGGGGGCCUUAAGCCCACCCAGGUCCUAGUGCCGGUCCGGUCCAUGGAAAUGGGUCGUGACAUA